GGGUCCGGACACACUGAGGAUUGACAGGCAAUAUUAAUACGUUUUGCUUCGGUAAACGCGUAUUAUGUUAAAUAUGCUAGUCCUUUCAUGAUUAUGUGAUAGGUGGUGCAUGGCCGUUCUUAGUUCGUGGAGUGAUCUGUCUGCUUAAUUGCGUUUCACUAAGGGCCUAUAAAUUUACGUNUGUUGCAUCGCACUUUGACCCCUUUCUUUAAUUAGAGAGCGCGUGUCUUAGUUUUCGCUUUGCUCAUACAAUUAGGUCCUGAAAGCAACGAACGUGACCGCAACCUCUUGUUGCCUUUAUACCAAACAUGUUUUGCGUCAAUUUUUACGAAUUGCGCGCAUUUCAUGAAAAAAGGCUUUUUAAACUAGAGGGACCGCUGUUACUUUCUUAAACCAGAGGAAGGUUGCGGCAAUAACAGGUCUGUGAUGCCCUUAGAUGUUCCGGGCUGCACACGUGCUACAAUGAUUAUUGCAGUGAGCAUCUCAUUUUUACACACCGCAUGCGCGAGUCCAUUUAUUCACCUUCGGGUGUUUUAAAUGUGUAUCUCUGCGCGCGGUAAAGCCUGCUUCGACAGUAAGUGGGU
RNAcentral lists this ribosomal RNA (584 nucleotides) under Cibicidoides lobatulus. RNAcentral describes it as "bacterial SSU rRNA". It matches the Rfam family "Eukaryotic small subunit ribosomal RNA", at positions 1220 to 1547 of the family's 1831-position model. The record is from RNAcentral. Lineage: Eukaryota; Foraminifera; Rotaliida; Anomalinidae.